Molecule: ribosomal RNA, 891 nt
Filed under: uncultured Staphylococcus sp.
Lineage: Bacteria; Bacillati; Bacillota; Bacilli; Caryophanales; Staphylococcaceae
Description: bacterial SSU rRNA
Rfam family: Bacterial small subunit ribosomal RNA
Source: RNAcentral
GUGCCUAAUACAUGCAAGUCGAGCGAACUGACGAGGAGCUUGCUCCUUUGACGUUAGCGGCGGACGGGUGAGUAACACGUGGGUAACCUACCUAUAAGACUGGAAUAACUCCGGGAAACCGGGGCUAAUGCCGGAUAACAUAUCGAACCGCAUGGUUCGAUAGUGAAAGACGGUCUUGCUGUCACUUAUAGAUGGACCCGCGCCGUAUUAGCUAGUUGGUGAGGUAACGGCUCACCAAGGCAACGAUACGUAGCCGACCUGAGAGGGUGAUCGGCCACACUGGAACUGAGACACGGUCCAGACUCCUACGGGAGGCAGCAGUAGGGAAUCUUCCGCAAUGGGCGAAAGCCUGACGGAGCAACGCCGCGUGAGUGAUGAAGGUCUUCGGAUCGUAAAGCUCUGUUGUUAGGGAAGAACAAAUGUGUAAGUAACUAUGCACAUCUUGACGGUACCUAACCAGAAAGCCACGGCUAACUACGUGCCAGCAGCCGCGGUAAUACGUAGGUGGCAAGCGUUAUCCGGAAUUAUUGGGCGUAAAGCGCGCGUAGGCGGUUUUUUAAGUCUGAUGUGAAAGCCCACGGCUCAACCGUGGAGGGUCAUUGGAAACUGGAAAACUUGAGUGCAGAAGAGGAAAGUGGAAUUCCAUGUGUAGCGGUGAAAUGCGCAGAGAUAUGGAGGAACACCAGUGGCGAAGGCGGCUUUCUGGUCUGUAACUGACGCUGAUGUGCGAAAGCGUGGGGAUCAAACAGGAUUAGAUACCCUGGUAGUCCACGCCGUAAACGAUGAGUGCUAAGUGUUAGGGGGUUUCCGCCCCUUAGUGCUGCAGCUAACGCAUUAAGCACUCCGCCUGGGGAGUACGGUCGCAAGACUGAAACUCAAAUGAAUUGACGG